This 481-nucleotide ribosomal RNA is filed under the name uncultured bacterium. RNAcentral's name for it is "bacterial SSU rRNA". It matches the Rfam family "Bacterial small subunit ribosomal RNA", at positions 329 to 802 of the family's 1533-position model. The record is from RNAcentral.
AUCGUAACUCCUACGGGAGGCAGCAGUGGGGAAUAUUGCACAAUGGGCGCAAGCCUGAUGCAGCCAUGCCGCGUGUGUGAAGAAGGCCUUCGGGUUGUAAAGCACUUUCAGCGGGGAGGAAGGCGGUGAGGUUAAUAACCUCACCGAUUGACGUUACCCGCAGAAGAAGCACCGGCUAACUCCGUGCCAGCAGCCGUGGUAAUACGGAGGGUGCAAGCGUUAAUCGGAAUUACUGGGCGUAAAGCGCACGCACGCGGUCUGUCAAGUCGGAUGUGAAAUCCCCGGGCUCAACCUGGGAACUGCAUUCGAAACUGGCAGGCUAGAGUCUUGUAGAGGGGGGUAGAAUUCCAGGUGUAGCGGUGAAAUGCGUAGAGAUCUGGAGGAAUACCGGUGGCGAAGGCGGCCCCCUGGACAAAGACUGACGCUCAGGUGCGAAAGCGUGGGGAGCUAACAGGAUUAGAAACCCGUGUAGUCCUAGAGC